RNAcentral lists this ribosomal RNA (507 nucleotides) under uncultured Methylocystis sp. Its description in RNAcentral is "bacterial SSU rRNA". It matches the Rfam family "Bacterial small subunit ribosomal RNA", at positions 372 to 897 of the family's 1533-position model. The record is from RNAcentral. Lineage: Bacteria; Pseudomonadati; Pseudomonadota; Alphaproteobacteria; Hyphomicrobiales; Methylocystaceae.
UGGGCGCAAGCCUGAUCCAGCCAUGCCGCGUGAGUGAUGAAGGCCCUAGGGUUGUAAAGCUCUUUCGCCAGGGACGAUAAUGACGGUACCUGGAUAAGAAGCCCCGGCUAACAUCGUGCCGGCAGCCGCGGUCAUACGAAGGGGGCUAGCGUUGUUCGGAAUCACUGGGCGUAAAGCGCACGUAGGCGGAUCUUUAAGUCAGGGGUGAAAUCCCGAGGCUCAACCUCGGAACUGCCUUUGAUACUGGAGGUCUCGAGUCCGGGGGAGGUGAGUGGAACUGCGAGUGUAGAGGUGAAAUUCGUAGAUAUUCGCYAGAACACCAGUGGCGAAGGCGGCUCACUGGCCCGGUACUGACGCUGAGGUGCGAAGGCGUGGGGAGCAAACAGGAUUAGAUACCCGGGUAGUCCCCGCCGUAAACGAUGGAUGCUAGCCGUUGGGCAGCUUGCUGUCCAGUGGCGCAGCUAACGCUUUAAGCAUCCCGCCUGGGGAGUACGGUCGCAAGAUUAA